Chroicocephalus ridibundus (black-headed gull) is the source of this 547-nucleotide long non-coding RNA. RefSeq lists it as uncharacterized. The transcript is spliced from 4 exons. Lineage: Eukaryota; Metazoa; Chordata; Aves; Charadriiformes; Laridae. The record is from RefSeq and is a predicted model, not a curated record.
CGAGAAUGGCUGAAGUUCAGAAACAAGAAUAGAAUUGCAGAAUCAUGAAAAGAGCAAUGGGGAGAAAGGAAACAAUAUUAGACUGAAGCUUUUCAACUGUGGAUAAAGUCUGCCUGGUGACUGAUACCUAAGGUCUUGUAGGAGCCUUGGGCACACAAGAAGAGAUCCCAUCUAGGAGUUUGAUAAAGGUUCAUUGAGUGGCCCUGCGUGCUACCAGAUUCCUUUAAAACCAGCUGAUUUUCAAGUUCAGGCAGAGGCGCAAAGGUCCUUUGGUUUAGGGUCUCUGUGUGUAUCCUUUUCCUGAUAUAUGACCUCGUGAGCUGACCUGCAUAAUCCUGGAAGCUGAUGUUGGUGGUAGGAGCCUGGAUCUCUUCCUCAAAGCUGCAGAUCUGUCAGCCCAUGUCCUUUUGUUUGACCCUUGACGCUGGCUGCUUCUUUCCUUACAGAGACUGAUGACUAUUACUACAAAUAUACCACAGAGUAUUCAAUUAUGCUGGAAGGAGGGUGAAAACGACAUGCCAGAAGCUCCACAAGAGAGAUGAUGCAC